Corvus hawaiiensis (hawaiian crow) is the source of this 4534-nucleotide long non-coding RNA. RefSeq lists it as uncharacterized. NCBI's taxonomy places the organism in Eukaryota, Metazoa, Chordata, Aves, Passeriformes, Corvidae. The record is from RefSeq and is a predicted model, not a curated record. The transcript is spliced from 2 exons.
GGUAGCUGUCUCUUCAAGCACUGCAAAUGCAAGCAUUAGGGUUAUGAACUCCAUCAAAGUACAUAAAAAUUAGAUGUUGCAACAUUCACGCCUAGUUCUUUAAUUCCCUGAACCUUAAAAAGGAACACAAACAGAAACUUGGCUGCUAUCCUCAGAUAUGUUUCCUAUGCUGACUUGGCCAAGCUAUCUCCUUAAGGCACCUUUACCUUGACUUUCUUUUUCCCAGCUUGACAUUUUUUCAGGUUAAAUUCCAUAUACCAGUGCAAACAUUCUCUGCUUCCAAAAGCCUUCUUCCUCUUCACUCUCCCUCAUGCCUCUUUCUUUGAUGUCUUUGCUUCCUUGUGCUGUUUCUUCCAAGUGACAACUGUACAGUGCUAAGAGAGUUCAAUAUAUAAGCAUGUCACUCCCUUAUCCACCUACCCUAAGUAACUGCUACAUAUUUAUCACCUGGAUUCAGUAAUCAAGCCUGACAUCAAGAAACUCAGUCCCAUAUCUCCCAUCUUACUCAGUGGCGUCUCAUAGGGCCCUGAAUCCUUGUACUCUUGAAAUCUGCGGAUGCUAAAAUUAAUCUUUUAUUCCUCUUAACACAUUUUUUCUUCUUUUAUUUAAUGAAGUAAAAUAAUUGGUGUCCAGUUUGAUCUGCUUUUCUAGUAAUGAUAAUCAGCUGUCUUAAGUGCUCCCUGAAGCUGAUAGACAAUUCUUCCUCUGUUACUUCCUUUUAAAAGUCUGGGAUGCAGCCAUGUCUCCUCUCAGUUUCUCUGGUACCUCUCCCAUAGCCAGCUUAAGUUUCCUGGAUUAUUUCAUUCCUUUGACAUUUAUUUUUUAGGAUAAACCUGGGGUAUAAACAACUCAAUUUUUAAAUAGUUCUUUAUCUAGGUGGGUUCAGUCAAUUGUUUGAUUUCCUGGUAACCUUUAGAGUUAAUGAUUUUUUUUUUUUCCUGUCCUUGGAAAAUGUCUAGAAACUGUGACAGACUUCACAUCUCUCCCUACUGAAGACAGAGGUACAAGUAAUAAUUCAUUUUCCAGGCAAUAUUCCCCUUUUAGUCAAGGUAGCCAUCCUGUUGCUCAGGAAGAUGAUGGCUGUAUCCCCAGCUGCCCUGCAGCUUCCUACACAGCAAAUUUAUAAAAACUUUUAUCAUGUUCACAUCUUUUCCCUUCUUUUUCUGUCUCAGCUUUUUGGAUCAUUUUCUUGCAUUCUUUCACAAUCAGCUCUUCUGCCUGUUCCUGCAGCACUGACCCUGCUGAUUUAUAAUUCUCAUAUUCUUCUCUCUUUAUUGCUCAUUUUGUUUCCCCAGUCAAUCACAGUGGUUGUCCCUAUUCCAAGAAGGACAACUAUUCCUCAAUGGUAUACAGAUUUCUUGAUUUCCAUGGACUAUAUCUUUGAGUAUUUCCCCACUGCAUCCUACCUCUUCACUGCCUUUUGCUGUUUUUUUAAGAAAACAUAUGCCCCUCUCAGUGUUCUGAGAAGUGUGGAGAACUCUGGGUGUUUUCUGAGAGUUCAAAGCUUUUGCACUUCUAAUUUUGGGGAUUCAUAUGUUCCUGAUUUCAGAACUCAUUAAGUUUGGCCUGUGUUUUCGUACCCUCCUCUCCUGGCUUUUUUGUAUGAUACAUGGCAUAUCUGGGGAGAUGCCAAGUGCCUCAAUGCCAGCCCACAGCUUUAGCUGUAUAUUCAUAGUCUUUGCUAUACUUCCCAUAUAGCACAAAUACUUCCCAGAAAUGAAUGAACUUGUUUUCACACCACCCUGUGAGUAAAGAAAGUGCUAUUACUUACAUUAUAUGGAGAGGGAAACCAGGGCACAAAAGUUAAGAUUCAUAUUUGUGAAUGAACUUAAGUGCUUUACUCUAAUUCAGUUGAAAAUAAAAGUAUUUUCUUAAUUCUGUAAAUUAUUAGGUGUUUUUUGUUGUUGUUCUCAGAAGCCCAGCUGCUUUCCUCUGAGAAGCUUCCUAUUUUUUAACACUUUCCAGCCCCUUUGUCCCACACACAAGUCCCGCCUCCGCCAACACCAAUUUGUUCAUUCCACCUGCCCACAUAAUUCGCUCUCAUUUUCCCUUUUGCUUUUACACAGAAGCUUAACAUAAAUGUACUUAACCCAGCUAAAGCCUGGGCCAGCCUGCAGCCAGCAUCGCUUCUGAUAGCAAGGAUUGGUACAUCUUGCUUUGUUUUCCCACCAAGAGCAUGCAGAACACGGGUAUGACCCAUUUGCUUUGGAGUGGUUUAAAGUAUUUAAUUCCUCAGUGGUGGGAAUUUGCUUCCUACACAGAUGCAAAAAAUGAAGAGAUGAACCUCUGGAAUGCUCAGUCCCCAGAGGAUGAGAAAGGCAGUCGCUGUGGUAAGGCCCAAGUCCCCAGGCCCCGGCUCCAUUGCCAGCUGCUCCUGGAAGACCAUAAGAACUGCUGACCCUCAUACUUCCCCUGCUGAAGCCCCACAGGGCCAUUUCUGCAAACCCAGAUACAAAAUGAUGAUGGGUUACAAAACCAAUCUCCUCCACACCUCUCCACCUUUUCCCCAGCCUUUGCUCUCCUGCUCACUCCCUAAAGAGGUGUGUUAUCUCUACCAAAAUGGCCUGAAGGAAAAGCCUACCCUGGCUGUGCCUGCAGGUGCGAAGGGUCAGGGCUGGCUAUGCUGGCUGACCAAAACCCUGAAGUCAGGGUACUGCCUGUUCCUGGUGGCUUGUUCCUGGGGAUUGGAUCAUGCUCCCUUUUAGUUAGUGGGGGUCAGUCAGCACAGUCAGUGGAGUCAAGAUUUGCCUGACACGGAGAUGUCCAUCUGACUGGCUGAUAUACAGACUCUGCUGGCCACCAGAUUGCUGCACAUAGGACCAGCUUCCCAUGCCGGGCCAGGGGAAGUCCACCCAGAUCUCCCAGAAUAGCAAUACACCCCUUGGGCCACAGAAUUUUACUUGCUGUGUCCCAGGUUAUUGGCACAGUCAAUGUGAGUCUCACCCACAGAUGGACAGAAAUGCAGUGGGGCUCAGGGGGAGGAAUUCAGCAGGAGCCUGUGCACAGGACAUGGGACAGACAGCAAUGCUCUGUCAACAGACAGAGCUAGGCAGAUAAAUGGAAAUUAAUGAGGAGAGCAGCAGGAAGUGUCACAGCCCUGCCUUCCUACAUCACCAAUUGAUUGCAAAUGACCCUGUUUUAUCAGGCACUCAGUAAUGGCACAGCAGUCUCAGCACCGGGCAGUUUAUGGCACGAGCCAGUUUGCUGUUACAAUAAGAUGCUAAUAUUUUGAACAAUCAGGUACUCAUCACCAUAAAAUAAAGCUAAGCACUUUAGAUCCUGCUUAACAAGCCUGCUAAUGCACUAUUGAAAUCAAUGACACAUUUGAACAGUAAGAACUGCCCUGAAGCUUUUUAAAGCCUGCUGUCCUUAUUUUUCAUUUUGUGAGCAGAAUUAUUCCUUCCAGGAGAGCACCUUCUGUUUGACAGGCUACAGGACCGAAAGCACAAAGACAAGGACAGAGAUUGGUUGCUAACACGGGCCAGCAAGUAGCAUCCAAGAAGUUACUUGAUCUUGCCCUACCUCAGCUUCUGCAGGUUGCUGAGAGCCAGGUAUAAACACAGAAAUGGCCUUCUGUACUGCUCAAGCGCUUUGUGACUUGUGGAUGGAUGGAAAUGCAAUAUUAAAGGUUACAGACAAUUUUUCUUAAAUGGGCUCCAGCGAUUUUUGUUUACACAAUGCAAACUUGAUAAAACAAUUUCAGAUAAAACAUAUAUCAAAAACAUUUAAGCAAGAGCAUCUGUCACAACCUAAAAUAUGGAAUCUGUGAGAGACAAAGAAGAGAAAAUGGGAACUGUAUAAUCACAGACAGGAAGGGACAACGGGGAAAUAAUGGCAAAUCAAAUAUAGCAACUUUUUUCUCUUUCAAAUGACACUUCUCAUCAGCUAGCUUAUGUCGAAGGAAAAAGAAAAAAUCUCCUGUGAUUUUUAUCUAUUAGAUUUUGCUCCAAAUACUUGCCACGCUCAGGAGCUGCGGCUGCGAGGAGGCCCAGCUCUGCCACUCUCAGCUAAUAGGUUUGAUUGUUCCCUCUGAAAUUAUACUCACAGAUAGUGACCUGCGAGUCAAUCUGCCACUCAGCUCUGCAGAGCAAAGACGGGCCCCAGAUAAGGCGGCGGGUGAGCGACAUGCGCAGCCCGGCAGCCUGCGGCGGAGCUCGGCCACCCCAGUGGCGCCGCCGCUGCCUCUCCCCUUGCCCCUCGCAGCACUGCUGGGGAGGAAUGAGAAGAAAGUAAAAGGAAAUCCUCAGGCUGAAGAUGCCACAGAACAGGAAAAGGCAAGUUCUAAUGUCAAUCUAAUGACAGAUAUGACUCAAAGUUUCAGCAGGUGGGAAGGUGCUUCCCACACUUCCAGCAGGCUUCCCAGAGAGCAGGGCUGUGUCUCUCACUCGGGCAAGACUUUUAAGGUGUGAAUAUGGAUAUGGAUAAGCACUUGGAAAAAGUCUCAUGUGUCUAACAUCAAAGAGUGCAUUUCAGGCUCUUAACAGUUACAGUGAAAUGCUUGAAAGUGCAACUUGCAUACAUUUGAAGAGCUCCA